RNAcentral lists this long non-coding RNA (1111 nucleotides) under Gouania willdenowi (blunt-snouted clingfish). Its description in RNAcentral is "lncRNA (ENSGWIG00000002718.1)". Lineage: Eukaryota; Metazoa; Chordata; Actinopteri; Blenniiformes; Gobiesocidae. The record is from RNAcentral.
AAUGAAUCACUUUGAAUGCUUUGCUGAUAAAAUGUACUACAUAAUGUUGCCUUGCCUUAUUAUUGGUCUAAUAUAUUAUUUGCUGUCAUGAAUAAUCAUUGUUUAAAUCACAAAUUUUUAAAUUUCCGGGUUGUCUGGAACGCAUCAUUGGUGGACCAAUCAUUGAGGAGUAUGCCUUAGUGGGCGUGUCUUCAGCGUUAACAGACAGACGUGCGUCACUCGAGCGUUAAAAACUUGUUCUUUCAACUUGAAAGUGGAAACUUGUUCAGUCUCUAAUAUUCCUGUGAAUAACAGCACGUUUACCUGCGCUUUGGACAGAAAUAACAACAUUUAUACUUCUGCUAAACAAACGAUGGACAAACUAUACCAAACACCUUCGAUGAGGACUGUCAUUGUUCUCAAUUUCCUAAGGAAUGCGAGUCAGAUGCGUCACCAUCCGUACCUUUACGCCCAGGCCUGCACUGAUUUUACAAUGGACUGGCAGUCCUGCAGGCGACCACGGCCUGUAUUUUCAAUGUAUGGACCGCCCAUCUCUGAACCAGGUUGUGGUGGUACCCACACCGGGGAGGAAGGAGGCCAUCUGUGGGAUCUACAACACAUCUUGCCUGGCAGCAUGAGCCAACCUCCUGAGGUCACUGAAAGCAUUUGCUCUCCAAACCAGCUCAGCUUUGCUUCCACUGAUCCUAAUGCAGCUCAUGUCUCUGACAUUGUUGGAAACCUAUUCCUCUACAGCCCUAUUUCUGACUUAUCAGGAUGUGUGGCUGAUGGCUUCCCUCUGCAGAGACAAACUGUUACUGAAGCUGAGGAACACAAUGUUUAACCCCCAACAAAACCUUGAUUCUGUUUUUAGGCCAAAUUACAGACGAUCCUCCAGCUCAGAGAAUGCUCAACCUGUGAACACUUGUAGUGUAAAUAUAUCAUGUAUAUAAUCCUCAUAUCCCUUUUAUCAAAUCACAUAUUCAGUAUUAAAAUUGUGAUGUGUUAUUCAAACUGUUUUACACUUUUUUAAAGAAUACUACUCUCUAAAAAUCUUCAUAUUCAUGCUUCUUAGGUGGAAAAAUUAUAUGUGUGAUGAAAUAAAAAUGAGUGGAUGACAAUAAUAUGUCUUUGU